GCACUGCGGAGGAGUCCCAUACUAGGACGAAACGGCUGUCCAGUGC
Molecule: non-coding RNA, 46 nt
Filed under: Schistosoma margrebowiei
Lineage: Eukaryota; Metazoa; Platyhelminthes; Trematoda; Strigeidida; Schistosomatidae
Source: RNAcentral